GAUUCUUUAGUAUAAUUUAAGUAUAUCUGAUUUCCAAUCAGAGGGUUAAGGGAUUA
This 56-nucleotide transfer RNA is filed under the name Rhabdias kafunata. RNAcentral describes it as "tRNA-Gly". Lineage: Eukaryota; Metazoa; Nematoda; Chromadorea; Rhabditida; Rhabdiasidae. The record is from RNAcentral.